AAAACAACAACAAGAACCCAAAGCAGCCACUUACCAAUGUCCUCGGACAGUGCAUUUAAAAUUUGGCAUUAGAAUUCACAGGACAAUCAAAAAUACCUCAGUGGAUCUGAGGAGCUUGGAAGGCCACAGUCUGAACUGAAAACUGAAAUCUGCUUACUGUCUUACUCUAUCAUCUCCAAAAGCAACCUACCAACGCAGUUCCCAGAACUGAAAAGGAGCUAAAAGAUAAACGCUCAGACCUCAUCUUGAUUGGGCUGGAGAAGACCAGGGACCCUUGUCCAGGCAGUUUUGCUUUACGGUCGUUCAUCUUCAGUCCACUCUAUGACGGGGUUUCUCAGAACCCUGACCUUGUCUCUGGAUAUAAAACUUCACACCUGCAUUUUUAAUAGAUUUAAUAAAAUUUGAUACUUUUGUUAUGCAAAAA
RNAcentral lists this long non-coding RNA (424 nucleotides) under Mus musculus (house mouse). RNAcentral's name for it is "elncRNA-EC12". The record is from RNAcentral. Lineage: Eukaryota; Metazoa; Chordata; Mammalia; Rodentia; Muridae.